UACAGAGGGGGCGAGCGUUGUUCGGAAUUACUGGGCGUAAAGGGCGCGUAGGCGGCCCGCUAAGUCGUACGUGAAAUCCCCAGGCUCAACCUGGGAACUGCGUCCGAUACUGGCAGGCUUGAAUCCGGGAGAGGGAUGUGGAAUUCCUGGUGUAGCGGUGAAAUGCGCAGAUAUCAGGAGGAACACCGGUGGCGAAGGCGGAUCUCUGGGCCGUAACUGACGCUGAGGAGCGAAAGCAUGGGGAGCGAACAGG
RNAcentral lists this ribosomal RNA (253 nucleotides) under uncultured bacterium. Its description in RNAcentral is "partial 16S ribosomal RNA". It matches the Rfam family "Bacterial small subunit ribosomal RNA", at positions 524 to 776 of the family's 1533-position model. The record is from RNAcentral.